This 28-nucleotide small RNA is filed under the name Bombyx mori (domestic silkworm). Its description in RNAcentral is "ovarian small RNA-26047". The record is from RNAcentral. Lineage: Eukaryota; Metazoa; Arthropoda; Insecta; Lepidoptera; Bombycidae.
UCAUCAUUUGCAACAUCUGAGUGAAAAA